AACGAACGCUGGCGGCGUGCCUAACACAUGCAAGUCGUGCGAGAAAGUUCCUUCGGGAGCGAGUAAAGCGGCGCACGGGUGAGUAACACGUAGGUAACCUGCCCCCCAGUCUGGAACGAACUAGAGGAAACUACUAGCUAAUGCCGGAUGAGACCACGAUCCCUUCCGGGGGUUGGCGGCCAAAGAUGGCCUCUACUUGUAAGCUAUCGCUGAGGGAUGGGCCUGCGGGCCAUUAGCUUGUUGGUGAGGUAACGGCUCACCAAAGGCUGUGAUGGCUAGCUGGUCUGAGAGGAUGACCAGCCACACUGGGACUGAGACACGGCCCAGACUCCUACGGGAGGCAGCAGU
This 348-nucleotide ribosomal RNA is filed under the name uncultured bacterium. RNAcentral's name for it is "bacterial SSU rRNA". It matches the Rfam family "Bacterial small subunit ribosomal RNA", at positions 29 to 355 of the family's 1533-position model. The record is from RNAcentral.